This 475-nucleotide long non-coding RNA is filed under the name Chrysemys picta bellii (western painted turtle). Its description in RNAcentral is "lncRNA (ENSCPBG00000016011.1)". Lineage: Eukaryota; Metazoa; Chordata; Testudines; Emydidae. The record is from RNAcentral.
GAUAUUUCUUUGUGUUUGCAGCAGCAGAGACCCCUUCAAAAGUUAAAAAUGUACAGAGUGGAAAUAAGAGCCUACACGCUGACCCCCAAGCUCUUGGGUUUGUCUAGUGUCUUGCUAAAACCAGUCACCAGCUCCACCAUUACUGAUGUCAGGACCAAGUGUGGGAUAAUUAUAGCCUCUCCAGCUGACUACUGGACCUCUUAAUAUGCCCACAGUGACUGAGGUUCCAGAAAAGUUACUACAUUCAAUCUUUACAUCGAUGGUUGGCCAAGAGUUCCUGCACCUCCAAUGUACUCAUCAUGCCACUGACAGAAUGGCUCUUUCUUCAAUUGGUGUAUUGUAUUACCUUCAACAAUUCCACUUACUCAUAUCCUUCUCAAAGAAAGCAUACAUAAAUUGUGUGUCCUUCUGAACUUGAUCUUUUAGGUGCUGAGUAUUCUGGUCCCAAUAUAGCAAAGCACUUAGGAUGGGAUUU